AUCUUUCCCUCUAGGCCUUAAGCUGCCAUUUAUGCCUGCCCACUACCUUCAUCCACUGUCAAAUAAUACAACAAAGGUUAUGCUUUUUUGCUUUUGGUUGUUAAUAUUGAGUAAAUUGCCACGCAGAGUACAUACACCGGACAAGAAAUUCAUGGAGUCAUUUCCUAAGGAGGAAAAGCAGACUUUUUUUGGUAAGUACUAACAAGUGAAAGGGCAUGGUCCACAUUGGCUGUGAUAAGUAAGAACUAAGAACUAGCCAUGUAGUAGAGAUGAGUCAUGUCUGUGCUCAAUGGGUUCAAAACAAGUUCCACUGGUGACGAGCCAGAAAAGAAUCUUCAGUUAGAUUCAGGUAAGUGUUUCUUAAAGUUCAUGGUUCUUUAAGAGCAUUAAGGUCAGAGCAGUUGUAGAGACACACAACCUUAGGUUUGAUUCUCAGCCAGGCAAGUACUCCUGGAAAUUUACUUCUUUGUUUUUACCACCCACUUUCCACACAGAAUUCCCUUGACAACAGAAAAAGGGUAGUGAUACAAACUAUUUUUCUUGCUUUUCUAGAAAGUAGAACAAUGACAAAGAAAAGAUUAAUAAUCUUACAUUAAAGUCAACAGAGUAGCUUAACAAUACCCCUAAGGUGCCUUUGUUUCUGAUACGAUUUGGUGGGGUUAUUAACAACAUAUCAACUGAAAUUAUGUAUUAGCUAAGAUAGAAUUUGCAGGAGCAAGAAAUGACAUAUUAAGCUGAGAAAUGCACAUUAAAAAUAGGGCUUAGAAGCUCUACAUCAGUGCCUUUUGUUUUAAAAGGUCCUUUAUCUUUCUCCAGCAUACCAAACAAUGGACCUUUCUAAGACUUGACUGUCAUCUUUGCAACAAAGUUUUCAUUAUUCCUCCAAACUAUUCCAAUACUACAUAGCACUUAAUAUAUUCAAUUCACAUGUAAUAAUUUUGAAUUCAUGAAGGAUAUAAUAAAAAUUAGAUGUACCAGUAAAAUAUAACAAAACUUUUAAUUUAUUGUUAUUAUUGUUUAUGUUAUUUUUAUGACUCCCUUUGCUUUCCUUCUCUUCUGGGGGGAAUCUGCUUCUACUAUAUUUUCCAGAAUCUUUGAGAAUUAACAUACUCUUCUCCCAGGGGAUGUUCCACAAUUAUUUGCGCUGUGACUAUCUGAAGGUAACACAAUGCUGGUAGAUUGGACAGGACUUGCCAGAAUGUUGAAUAUUUGCUUUUACACCAUGUACAUUGAAACUUGAGCUCUUAUUAGCAACACCUGAUAUCACAUGAUAAAAACUUUUGUGCUAAUUCAGGGAACUCUGUGGCUAAGAAGUUAGGUAAUAAUAGUUCUGGGUAGGGCUUGCCUCAUGUUUCCUUUGUUUUAGGCAUUGAAAUAAAGUAUAAUACUGUCUUGCUGAAGAAACAGAACCUGAGUUACAGGAUGGUGGAAAUAUCUUUUCACUUUCUCAUCUUGGGAGUCUUCAUAGCUAGCAUAUUAUACUCAUACAUGCCUCUCAGAUAAUGUCAAGGAACCGUGGAAAAUGGUGUUUAAUGCUGUUGCAAAAAUGGCAUCAUAUUUGUUAAAUCAAAUUAUUUACUAAUCGAGAGAGACAAGUUUUCUAGGAUUCUAAGGGUUUUUUUUGUUGUUGUUGUUUUUGUUUUAAAUUCUACAUGUCUCUGGCUUCCUAUUGUCAAAGUUUCCUGAUUCCUUUAUUAUAUCUCUGAAUGACCUCAGAAUUGAUCUUGAUAACCAGAUGAGCAAGGAAGCAUUCAAUUUAUAUUUCUAAAAUGAUCCAUUUUAAAGUAGCAGUGAAUUUUUUUAAGUGACAAUUUUUUCCUUCAAUUUUUUUACUUACAUGUGAUUUUAAAAUUUUAUACAAAACUCAGAAGUCAGAUGUUUAAAUUACUCUGUAGUUAUCCAUGACAUGUAAGCAUUAAUACUGGAUUUGGAUUAUAAACUAUGGACAUGUAAGUAGGUUCUUAUGAAAAUAUACUAUAGAUUGUCUGACUGAAAAGAAUGCCUUUAAAAAACCAUGAGAAAAAAAAAAAAAA
RNAcentral lists this long non-coding RNA (2033 nucleotides) under Canis lupus familiaris (dog). RNAcentral describes it as "lncRNA (ENSCAFG00845027349.1)". The record is from RNAcentral. Lineage: Eukaryota; Metazoa; Chordata; Mammalia; Carnivora; Canidae.